This 253-nucleotide ribosomal RNA is filed under the name uncultured bacterium. Its description in RNAcentral is "partial 16S ribosomal RNA". It matches the Rfam family "Bacterial small subunit ribosomal RNA", at positions 524 to 776 of the family's 1533-position model. The record is from RNAcentral.
UACGUAGGCAGCGAGCGUUGUUCGGAAUUACUGGGCGUAAAGAGUGUGUAGGCGGUGCUCUAAGUUCGGUGUGAAAUCUCCCGGCUUAACUGGGAGGGUGCGCCGGAAACUGGAGUGCUCGAGCGUGGGAGAGGAAAGCGGAAUUCCUGGUGUAGCGGUGAAAUGCGCAGAUAUCAGGAGGAACACCGGUGGCGAAGGCGGGUCUCUGGGCCGAAACUGACGCUGAGGAGCGAAAGCGUGGGGAGCGAACAGG